This 1023-nucleotide ribosomal RNA is filed under the name Candidatus Nomurabacteria bacterium. RNAcentral describes it as "bacterial LSU rRNA". It matches the Rfam family "Bacterial large subunit ribosomal RNA", at positions 2289 to 2913 of the family's 2925-position model. The record is from RNAcentral. Lineage: Bacteria; Candidatus Nomuraibacteriota.
CCUAAAGAGUAACGGAGGAGUUUAUUAAGGUUAGCUAGGCGCGAAUGGAAACCGUGCCGAUAGUGUAAUGGCACAAGCUAGCUUAACUGUAAGACGUACAUGUCGAGCAGAUACGAAAGUAGAACAUAGUGAACCGACAUUUCGCAUUAGAUGCGGAUGAAGAUUAACGGAUAAAAGCUACUCUAGGGAUAACAGGCUAGUUCCGCCUAAGAGUUCAUAUCGACGGCGGAGUUCGGCACCUCGAUGUCGGCUCACCUUAUCCUGGUGGUGGAGAAGCUGCCAAGGGUUUAGCUGUUCGCUAAUUAAAAAGGUACGCGAGCUGGGUUCAAACCGUUAAGAUCAUAAACGAUUGUGAUUUUAACAGUUUGAACCGUCGAGGAAAGUAAAGAAAUCUCGUAUAUUUCUUUCAAUGUUUUAAUCUGAGAUUAAGACCGCUAUACACAGUUGUGUAUAUCACGGCGGCCCCGCCAAUAAAACGACGGGGAGAAUUUCACUUAUAUCGGUGAAGUCCUACUUUUAUAAAAGAGGAUAAUACCGAGGGAAGCGUAAGCACCCGUAGAGACUAAAUGUGAAAUAUUUUUUGAGAAAUCAAAAGAGAAAGUUAUAGUCCAAUCCCACAAGUAAUUGUGGUUCCCAUUUUUGUAUUUAAACGCGCAAAAAUGAAGAGACUAAAUCAUUUUUAGUAAAAAAUGAUCGUCCGAACUUUUGUUUACAAAAGUUUUAGGAAGUAAAAUAUAGAUGCGUGAGACAGGUUGGUCUCCUAUCUACUGCAGGCGUUGAUUCUUGAGAAGAUCUGCUCUUAGUACGAGAGGACCGGAGUGGACUGACCUCUGGUGUGUGGGCUCUACUGCCAAGUGGACUGCCCAGUAGCUAUGUCGGGAAUGGAUAAGUUCUGAAAGCAUCUAAGAACGAAGCCAACUUCAAGAUGAGGAAUCGUUUGAGAAACCUAAGAGAUGAUUAGGUUGAUAGGCACUAGGUGUACAGACAGUAAUGUCUUUAGCCGAGGUGUACUAAUCGUUCGAU